Passer domesticus (house sparrow) is the source of this 409-nucleotide long non-coding RNA. RefSeq lists it as uncharacterized. The transcript is spliced from 3 exons. The record is from RefSeq and is a predicted model, not a curated record. NCBI's taxonomy places the organism in Eukaryota, Metazoa, Chordata, Aves, Passeriformes, Passeridae.
GGUCGUGCUGAGCACGCUGAAGGGAACAAGGACCUGGGGAUUUAGAAAAGCCAGUCUGAGUAUGCUCUUCCAUGGCAAGCAUCCACCGAGGGUGGAUGAAGAACACUCUGCUAAUGUGGUGAUGAGCCUCCUGCGCUGUGCCCCAUCCUGUGACAGGGCUGCUGUACUGAUGUGGAGAAGCAUCGGCACGUCAAGACCCGCAGUGCAGAAGGUGCUUCCAGCAUUGUUCUCUGUGAUAGAGGACAGGCCACUGUACAGCAUGUUCUUCUACAGUGGGGAUAACGAGGCCGUCUUUGCCCUGGCUGCAACUGUGGUGCUGUGGAAGAUUGCCCACAUGCCCGAGUGGCACGACGCAGUAGUCCUUCAUUCGGCCCAGCUGUUUGUGGCUCUGCUCUUGCAAGUUUUUGCC